AUUGAACGCUGGCGGAAUGCUUUACACAUGCAAGUCGAGCGGCAGCGCGGCCUUCGGGCUGGCGGCGAGCGGCGAACGGGUGAGUAAUGCAUCGGAACAUGCCCAGUCGUGGGGGAUAACACUUCGAAAGAAGUGCUAAUACCGCAUACGUCCUGAGGGGGAAAGCGGGGGAUCGCAAGACCUCGCGCGAUUGGAGUAGCCGAUGUCAGAUUAGCUAGUUGGUGGGGUAAAGGCCUACCAAGGCGACGAUCUGUAGCUGGUCUGAGAGGAUGAUCAGCCACACUGGAACUGAGACACGGUCCAGACUCCUACGGGAGGCAGCAGUGGGGAAUAUUGGACAAUGGGCGCAAGCCUGAUCCAGCCAUACCGCGUGGGUGAAGAAGGCCUUCGGGUUGUAAAGCCCUUUUGUUGGGAAAGAAAAGCAGCAGGUUAAUACCCCGCUGUUCUGACGGUACCCAAAGAAUAAGCACCGGCUAACUUCGUG
Molecule: ribosomal RNA, 484 nt
Filed under: uncultured bacterium
Lineage: Bacteria
Description: partial 16S ribosomal RNA
Rfam family: Bacterial small subunit ribosomal RNA
Source: RNAcentral